AUACAGAGGGUGCAAGCGUUAUUCGGAAUUACUGGGCGUAAAGCGCGCGUAGGCGGAUGAUUAAGUCAGUUGUGAAAGCCCUGGGCUCAACCUAGGAACUGCAUCUGAUACUGGUCAUCUAGAGUUUAAGAGAGGGAAGUGGAAUUCCAGGUGUAGCAGUGAAAUGCGUAGAUAUCUGGAGGAACAUCAGUGGCGAAGGCGACUUCCUGGCUUAGAACUGACGCUGAGGUGCGAAAGCGUGGGUAGCGAACGGGAUUAGAAACCCUAGUAGUCC
RNAcentral lists this ribosomal RNA (274 nucleotides) under uncultured bacterium. RNAcentral describes it as "partial 16S ribosomal RNA". It matches the Rfam family "Bacterial small subunit ribosomal RNA", at positions 523 to 796 of the family's 1533-position model. The record is from RNAcentral.